AUUGAACGCUGGCGGCAGGCUUAACACAUGCAAGUCGAGCGGAAACGAUGUAGCUUGCUACCGGCGUCGAGCGGCGGACGGGUGAGUAACGCGUAGGAAUCUGCCUAGUAGUGGGGGACAACAUGUGGAAACGCAUGCUAAUACCGCAUACGCCCUACGGGGGAAAGGAGGGGAUCUUCGGACCUUUCGCUAUUAGAUGAGCCUGCGUAAGAUUAGCUAGUUGGUAGGGUAAAGGCCUACCAAGGCGACGAUCUUUAACUGGUCUGAGAGGAUGGCCAGUCACACUGGGACUGAGACACGGCCCAGACUCCUACGGGAGGCAGCAGUGGGGAAUAUUGGACAAUGGGCGCAAGCCUGAUCCAGCCAUGCCGCGUGUGUGAAGAAGGCCUUAGGGUUGUAAAGCACUUUCAGGGGUGAGGAAGGGUGUUUGGUUAAUAUCCAAACAUUUUGACGUUAGCCCCAGAAGAAGCACCGGCUAACUCUGUG
RNAcentral lists this ribosomal RNA (486 nucleotides) under uncultured bacterium. Its description in RNAcentral is "partial 16S ribosomal RNA". It matches the Rfam family "Bacterial small subunit ribosomal RNA", at positions 30 to 507 of the family's 1533-position model. The record is from RNAcentral.